Molecule: transfer RNA, 69 nt
Filed under: Melanozosteria nitida
Lineage: Eukaryota; Metazoa; Arthropoda; Insecta; Blattodea; Blattidae
Description: tRNA-Arg
Source: RNAcentral
GAAUAAGAAGCAAUUAAUUGCAGUCAGUUUCGACCUGACAUUUAGAUAAUAUAAUAUUAUCCUUAUUUU